This 252-nucleotide ribosomal RNA is filed under the name uncultured bacterium. RNAcentral's name for it is "partial 16S ribosomal RNA". It matches the Rfam family "Bacterial small subunit ribosomal RNA", at positions 524 to 776 of the family's 1533-position model. The record is from RNAcentral.
GACAGAGGGUGCAAACGUUGUUCGGAAUUACUGGGCGUAAAGCGCGUGUAGGCGGUCAUGUAAGUCGGGCGUGAAAUCCCCGGGCUUAACCUGGGACGUGCAGUCAAAACUGUAAGCCUUGAAUGUCUGAGAGGAUGGCGGAAUCCCGGUGUAGUAGUGAAAUACGUAGAUAUCGGGAAGAACACCUGAGGCGAAGGCGGCUAUCUGGCGGUACAUUGACGCUGAGGCGCGAAAGCGUGGGGAGCAAACAGG